AACGGGUGAGUAACACGUAUCUAAUCUACCUUUUAGUGGGGGAUAACCUUUGGAAACGAAGGAUAAUACCGCAUAAGAUCCUCAUUAUGACAUCAGAAGAAGAGGAAAGAUCCGUUUGGAUCGCUAAAAGAUGAGGAUGCGGCGUAUUAGUUAGUAGGCGGGGUAAAGGCCCACCUAGACGAUGAUACGUAGCCGAACUGAGAGGUCGAUCGGCCACAUUGGGACUGAGAUACGGCCCAGACUCCUACGGGAGGCAGCAGUAGGGAAUUUUUCACAAUGGACGAAAGUCUGAUGAAGCAAUGCCGCGUGAGUGAUGAAGGUCUUCGGAUUGUAAAGCUCUGUUGUAAGGGAAGAGUAAGCCAGGAAGGAAAUGUCUUGGUGAUGACGGUACCUUA
Molecule: ribosomal RNA, 395 nt
Filed under: uncultured Mesoplasma sp.
Lineage: Bacteria; Bacillati; Mycoplasmatota; Mollicutes; Entomoplasmatales; Entomoplasmataceae
Description: bacterial SSU rRNA
Rfam family: Bacterial small subunit ribosomal RNA
Source: RNAcentral